ACGCUUGUGUUCUGUUUCUCUUCUCUUUUUUCCAUGUUGCCUGGCAGUGCCUCACUGGAGUUCCCAUUACCCCCGGGCACACUUGUGACCAAGUGAGGUGCCAAAAAAAGAGGUAUCUCCUAAACAGGCUUCUGCUGAGUGCUGUCCUCGUCUUGGGGAUUGGCGACUCCACCACCAGAAGUAGCAGGCAUUUUGGGACAUCCAAGGUACCGCAGUGAGCGUGUCCUGUUCCUGGUAAAGGUGUGGGCGUUCCUGGACAUAAAGGUAUCUUCAUGCUUUCCCCAUGUGCCAAGUACCCCGCCAGAUGCUAUUCAGCUUUUGGCACCCCCUAAGUUGCUGCAAUGUCUGCGCCCUGAUUUUGGGAGUGAGGUAAGUGACACCUUUGAAAACAAGCGAUAUUUUAGGGUCAAAAACAGGGAUUUCUAUGAAAAUAA
Molecule: long non-coding RNA, 434 nt
Organism: Tympanuchus pallidicinctus (lesser prairie-chicken)
Lineage: Eukaryota; Metazoa; Chordata; Aves; Galliformes; Phasianidae
Exons: 3
Source: RefSeq, a predicted model, not a curated record